Molecule: ribosomal RNA, 259 nt
Filed under: uncultured Glomus
Lineage: Eukaryota; Fungi; Glomeromycota; Glomeromycetes; Glomerales; Glomeraceae
Description: partial 18S ribosomal RNA
Rfam family: Eukaryotic small subunit ribosomal RNA
Source: RNAcentral
AAGCUCGUAGUUGUAUUUCGGGAUCAAUGUUUCGGUCAUGCCGUUGGUAUGUACUGAUAUUAUUGAUUUCUCACCUUCUAAAGAACCGUAAUGCCAUUAAUUUGGUGUCACGGGGAAUUAGGACUGUUACCUUGAAAAAAUUAGAGUGUUUAAGGCAGGCUCACGCUUGAAUACAUUAGCAUGGAAUAAUGAAAUAGGACAUCCGAUUCUAUUUUGUUGGUUUCUAGGAUCGAUGUAAUGAUUAAUAGGGAUAGUUGGG